RNAcentral lists this ribosomal RNA (273 nucleotides) under uncultured bacterium. RNAcentral's name for it is "partial 16S ribosomal RNA". It matches the Rfam family "Bacterial small subunit ribosomal RNA", at positions 29 to 280 of the family's 1533-position model. The record is from RNAcentral.
AGCGAACGCUGGCGGCGUGCCUAACACAUGCAAGUCGAGCGCGGGCAUUUCGGGGGUAACCCCGGGAUGUGCUGAGCGGCGGACGAGUGAGUAAUACGUGGACAACCUGCCUUAAAGCUUGGGAUAACUCCGGGAAACUGGAGCUAAUACCGGAUAAGACCACGGUGUCUAUGGAUGCUGAGGUAAAAGGCGGCCAGGAACUGGCUGUUGCUUAAAGAUGGGUCCACGUCCCANCAGGUAGUUGGUGAGGUAAAGGCUCACCAAGCCAAAGAC